This 221-nucleotide ribosomal RNA is filed under the name uncultured bacterium. RNAcentral describes it as "partial 16S ribosomal RNA". It matches the Rfam family "Bacterial small subunit ribosomal RNA", at positions 129 to 334 of the family's 1533-position model. The record is from RNAcentral.
CCUCAAAGAGGGGGACAACAGUUGGAAACGACUGCUAAUACCGCAUACGAUCUAAUCUCGGCAUCGAGGAUGGAUGAAAGGUGGCCUCUAUUUAUAAGCUAUCACUGAAGGAGGGGAUUGCGUCUGAUUAGCUAGUUGGAGGGGUAACGGCCCACCAAGGCGAUGAUCAGUAGCCGGUCUGAGAGGAUGAACGGCCACAUUGGAACUGAGACACGGUCCAA